GGGGAUAUAGCGUAGAUGGCAGCGCACGGGAAUUUGACUCCCGAUGGAACCGUUCGAGCCGGUUUAUCCCUG
RNAcentral lists this transfer RNA (72 nucleotides) under Ventrimonas sp. KK005. RNAcentral's name for it is "Candidatus Ventrimonas sp. JLR.KK005 tRNA-Gln". It matches the Rfam family "tRNA". From Rfam's summary of the family: Transfer RNA (tRNA) molecules are approximately 80 nucleotides in length. Their secondary structure includes four short double-helical elements and three loops (D, anti-codon, and T loops). The record is from RNAcentral. Lineage: Bacteria; Bacillati; Bacillota; Clostridia; Lachnospirales; Lachnospiraceae.